Molecule: long non-coding RNA, 1118 nt
Filed under: Apteryx owenii (little spotted kiwi)
Lineage: Eukaryota; Metazoa; Chordata; Aves; Apterygiformes; Apterygidae
Description: lncRNA (ENSAOWG00000016609.1)
Source: RNAcentral
GAUGAGGGAAGUUACCUUUUCCAGGAGCUCAGUGCAACCUGUAGAUCUAUGCCAAAGUCAAAGAACUACCAUUCGGUGCCAUCUCUCUUAUACUCCUCCUGCUUAGAAUGAACAUGUGGUGACUGAAGAACUGCUGCAGUUCUCGUUGGUGAAGUUGAUACACAUCUGCUUGAAGCUGUUGAACUGCAGAGAAGAACAGGCUGGUUGUGUAAGGCAUUUGCUGACCUGCCUUUGAGAUGUGUCCCUCAGCUCUAAACAGAAAAACUCAGCUGCUGGUGGCAGGAAAUAAACUGCAGGGAAAUCCCACCUGGCUGAGGAUCCCUCAGGCUGCUCUACAGCCCUCUUCUCUCAAGGAUCUCCAUGCUUUCUGCAAAUACCAUGAUUGUUCCUCCCACUGAUAUUUAUUUUGGUUUCCAGACCACCUGCGAGCCCCCAGAGCAGUGUGUGAGGGUAAAUUCACAGCAGCCACAGAUCAGUAUCACCCUCUGUUUUAUGAAUGGAGAAAAAAAAAAUGCAGGGAGUUCAUCUGAAGCAUUGACAAGGCAGAGUGAAACAGAGAACUCAGAUGUCCAGGCACUUUGCCAUCUGCUUUAAACAAAUGAGAGACAGGCAAAGAAAAGGGGCUUGGACAUGAGCUGUCACUGAAGGAUUUAAGUCAUACCUGUGCUCCCCGCAAUUUACAGCAGCAGUUCAAUAGGAGCCUGCAACAGAAGGAUCAAGCGCUGUCAAGUCAGAGACAGAAGCCUCAGUGACGACAGCCCCAAGCAAUGCGUCGUGCCAGCCUUGUGAGUCAUGCUGUCUGCGCAGGUGUUGGAGGAGUCAGUCUGGGGAAAAAGAGGGAAGAAAAUCCCCUGAAAGCUCCAGCAUGUGGCAUCAAGUUGACCCCACACAGACUGUUGAGAAGAUUGGGAGUUUUUAAUCCACAGCACAGGCUUUGGACGCUUGAGCUCAUGGAGCAACAUAUAGCACUAAUGAGUUGCUCUGCCCUAGGUGGACCAGCUGUACAGAGGACUAAGCCAACUUUUCCACCAGGAUUUAACUGUGUCUGCCAACUGCAGAGGAGUAUUAACAUUCAGAAAACAGGUCUCACCAUGGAUCUGGCAGAGGUGGUGCCCUAA